This 409-nucleotide ribosomal RNA is filed under the name uncultured bacterium. RNAcentral's name for it is "bacterial SSU rRNA". It matches the Rfam family "Bacterial small subunit ribosomal RNA", at positions 509 to 916 of the family's 1533-position model. The record is from RNAcentral.
CAGCAGCCGCGGUAAUACGUAGGGUGCGAGCGUUGCCCGGAUUUAUUGGGCGUAAAGGGCGCGCAGGCGGCCACGCACGUCCGUUGUGAAAUCCCUCGGCUCAACUGGGCGGGGUCAGCGGAUACGGCGUGUCUAGAGCAAGCUAGGGGGCAAUGGAAUUCCCGGUGUAGUGGUGGAAUGCGUAGAUAUCGGGAGGAACACCAGUGGCGAAGGCGGUUGCCUGGAGCUUUGCUGACGCUGAGGCGCGAAAGCGUGGGGAGCGAUCCGGAUUAGAUACCCGGGUAGUCCACGCUGUAAACGAUGUCUACUAGGUGUCGGGGGUAUCGACCCCCUCGGCGCCGCAGCUAACGCAUUAAGUCUACCGCCUGGGGACUACGGCCGCAAGGCUAAAACUCAAAGGAAUUGACGG